This is a long non-coding RNA of Cebus imitator (Panamanian white-faced capuchin), 99 nucleotides long. RefSeq lists it as uncharacterized. NCBI's taxonomy places the organism in Eukaryota, Metazoa, Chordata, Mammalia, Primates, Cebidae. The record is from RefSeq and is a predicted model, not a curated record. The transcript is spliced from 3 exons.
AACAUGUUGAAGAUUCAGAGAAAACGGAACUCUUAAACACUGUCGAUGGGAAUGUAAGCUAGCACAGCCAUUAUGGAAAACAAUAUGGAGAUUUCUCAA